This 453-nucleotide ribosomal RNA is filed under the name uncultured bacterium. Its description in RNAcentral is "partial 16S ribosomal RNA". It matches the Rfam family "Bacterial small subunit ribosomal RNA", at positions 355 to 800 of the family's 1533-position model. The record is from RNAcentral.
UAGGGAAUCUUCCACAAUGGACGCAAGUCUGAUGGAGCAACGCCGCGUGAGUGAAGAAGGCUUUCGGGUCGUAAAACUCUGUUAUUGAAGAAGAACGUGCGUGACAGUAACUGGUCAUGCAGUGACGGUAUUCAAUCAGAAAGUCACGGCUAACUACGUGCCAGCAGCCGCGGUAAUACGUAGGUGGCAAGCGUUGUCCGGAUUUAUUGGGCGUAAAGCGAGUGCAGGCGGUCUUUUAAGUCUGAUGUGAAAGCCUUCGGCUUAACCGAAGAAGGGCAUCGGAAACUGGGAGACUUGAGUGCAGAAGAGGAGAGUGGAACUCCAUGUGUAGCGGUGAAAUGCGUAGAUAUAUGGAAGAACACCAGUGGCGAAGGCGGCUCUCUGGUCUGUAACUGACGCUGAGGCUCGAAAGCGUGGGUAGCAAACAGGAUUAGAUACCCUGGUAGUCCACGC